Molecule: long non-coding RNA, 579 nt
Organism: Setaria italica (foxtail millet)
Lineage: Eukaryota; Viridiplantae; Streptophyta; Magnoliopsida; Poales; Poaceae
Exons: 3
Source: RefSeq, a predicted model, not a curated record
UCCACUGCAGAUAUUGCACAGAAGCAAGUCAUAAUAGUGGAGGGUGCAAAUUGAAAAAAAUGGAUUUCAGCUCUAGAGAUGCAAAGAACCUUGUUGCAAAUACCAGAGCCAGACUAUAAGAGGAGGCUGAACAAGCAGCUGUUCAAUCAGCUAAUAUUGUUUCUCAUGGAUACCAACCAGAUGAUGUUAGCCAGAGUACAAGCAAUGUUCCUAUCAACUAGGAUGGUAGUGAACAAGUCCAAGUUGAGGUAAUCACACAAGCAAGCACAACCAUGUUAAGUCAAAUGACAGAAGAGGAAACUCAGGGUGUUUCUUCACUUUCACAACCUGUUGGACCAUUGCCAGACAGUCAAUUCAUUGCUUCCAACCAAUUGACCCAAAGACCAGUGGAACUGACUAUCACCUCCAAGGCAGGGAAGGCAAGACUUGCAAAGAAGAGGAAGGUCAACAGCAAGUCUGCAGCAGCCAAGAAGAGGAAGAAUUGAAAGUGAUAGUGAAAUAGAGCUUUUGUGGAAGACAGAUCAUGUUCUGACUUGCCCUUAGUUUAAGUAAUCCAAUUUAAGCAUCCAUGUAAUAUGU